This 201-nucleotide long non-coding RNA is filed under the name Phoenix dactylifera (date palm). RNAcentral describes it as "long non-coding RNA (PDAC_LNC007314)". The record is from RNAcentral. Lineage: Eukaryota; Viridiplantae; Streptophyta; Magnoliopsida; Arecales; Arecaceae.
GAUCACUAAGUAAAUAUAAGAUAGUCCAUGCUUAGGGAAGAUGCAGUGUCCUGCCACAUUAGUUUAGGGUAGACAUUUCAUGCCAACUGAAGAUGGAUUAUUUCCAAAUUACUUUUGUGAAUUUCUAUUUAAAGGCUUAUUAGGCUUGUAGCCGAUCUGCAUAAUAAUCCAAGAAUAAAAUAAAUUAUAAAUAACCCUUAU